Non-coding RNA from Tricholoma furcatifolium, 110 nucleotides. The record is from the annotation of a GenBank genome assembly. Lineage: Eukaryota; Fungi; Basidiomycota; Agaricomycetes; Agaricales; Tricholomataceae.
GGGGGCAUAGCUCAGCUGGGAGAGCAGCAGACUGAAGUUCAGGCCUCCGGCAGUGGCAACUUCCUAAUGCUCAAUUCUGAAGGUCCCGCGUUCAAUCCGCGGUGCCCCCA